This 490-nucleotide ribosomal RNA is filed under the name uncultured bacterium. RNAcentral's name for it is "partial 16S ribosomal RNA". It matches the Rfam family "Bacterial small subunit ribosomal RNA", at positions 30 to 507 of the family's 1533-position model. The record is from RNAcentral.
AUUGAACGCUGGCGGCAGGCCUAACACAUGCAAGUCGAACGGUAACAGAAAGCAGCUUGCUGCUUUGCUGUCGAGUGGCGGGCGGGUGAGUCAUGUCUGUGAAACUGCCUGAUGGAGGGGGAUAACUACUGGAAACGGUACCUAAUACCGCAUAACGUCGCAAGACCAAAGAGGGGGACCUUCGGGCCUCUUUCCAUUGGCUGUGCCCAGAUGGGAUUAGCUAGUAGGUGGGGUAACGGCUCACCUAGGCGACGAUCCCUAGCUGGUCUGAGAGGAUGACCAGCCACACUGGAACUGAGACACGGUCCAGACUCCUACGGGAGGCAGCAGUGGGGAAUAUUGCGCAAUGGGCGCAAGCCUGAUGCAGCAAUGCCGCGUGUAUGAAGAAGGCCUUCGGGUUGUAAAGUACUUUCAGCGGGGAGGAAGAGAUUAAUGUUAAUACCUUGGCUCAUUGACGUUACCCGCAGAAGAAGCACCGGCUAACUCCGUG